AAUUAAAAUAAGAACAUAUUAAUUUAAUCUAUGAUUAACAUAUUUUAAAAUUAAUGAUGACAAAUUUACCAUGCAAGUUUUUCAAAUAUAUUAACAUUUUUAAUGAUCAAAAUCUUUUGGCAUAAUAGUAAAAACCGUAAAAAGUGACCAGUGGAAAGAAAAUUAAAAUAAUUGACAACGUAAGUCCUAACUAUGAUCAAAAAGGAAUACAGAAAAUAGUAAAACAUUUUCUUAUUGGCUUUAAUUCUAAGUUUAAAGAUGAAUUAAUGAAGGAGUAAGCAUGAACAUUUAUUCUAAUUCUGGGAAUCACAAAAUACUCCCAACGGCAUUAGAGUAGAGGUUAAAAAUCUCAACAAGUUCUUUGCCAGAGAAUGUGGCUUUCACAUGGAAGAGGGCAAAACUGAGCAUGAUAAAGGUGAUCAUGUGUUUCUUGUGUGUAAACUCCUAACUCAUCACUAAGUUUUGACACACUUCUGGCUUUCCUUGGUUUAGAGCUGCAUUACUCAGAUCUCUGUCUUCAUAUUCACAGAGAGUUUUUCCUGUGAGUGUAACAGUGUCCAGAUUUUUCCCUUUGCUAAGAACACUAGUCAUACUGGAGUAAAGGCUCAUCCUACUCCAGUAUGACCUCAUCUUACCUCAUUGCGUCACCAGUAAUCUUAAGAUUGUUGCAGAUGUCAUGAGGUAAGAUGAGGUCAUACGAGGGUAGGAUGGACCUCUGAGGCACUGGGGGUUAGAACAUCAACAUUUGAAUUUGGCAGGUGAUACACUUCGACCCACAACAGGUAUGUAAGCAAUAAGACUAAUGCUUUAAAAGAUUCUGAUCCAUGAGCUUUGGGAAUCCAUCCUUGAAAACGCAAUGAUUUAGAAAUUACAAACAAUUAUAAGCAAAAUUCCAACAAAGCAUAGUUGUAUAACAAAUUAGGAGUGUCAGGACUAAGCUUUCUGUAUAAUGUUUUGAAUUCUCAGAUAUAAGAGAGCACUCACCUUGUGGCUUUAACUUUAAUCUUUGCAGGAUACAUGCAAAAGGAAUAAAAAUAUUUUUGUUAAGGAAGAUUGCAAAGAGUUAAGUUUUAGUUUUAUAAAUAAAGAGAAAAGUGGUGAAAAUAAUUCAAAACAAAAAUAAAUCAAAAUGUCAUGUGUAAUGAAAUGGCAAGAGAUUUAUUUUAUCAUCUACAGGUUGCUUAGCUUGUUUUUGUGCUACAGUAACUUUCCAGGGGCAGCAGAGAGAGGUGGAAAAUGUAUGGUUAUGCUUUUUAUUCACGACGUAACUUUGGGUUUGCUGUUUUACCUCUGAGUCUUUAAACUACAUAUGUAGCAUUCUCACAAGUAAAAUGGGAAAAGUAAAUCAACUUGUAAUGAAGGCUUGAUGAAGCUUAGGCUAUGCUAAUGAAAUAUUAGGUCUAUUCUUUCACUGUUUUUCCCUCCAGAUUUUAACCCCUACUUUCCUGUUAAUCAGGAACGUGAUUAACAGGCACUGACUUUGGGGAAAGGAUGAAUUUGUAAAAGUACAUUUGUGAAGGAAAUAUGCAAACAUACUCAUUAUGAACAUAGACACAAUUGGGUAAAUAAAAUUUAGAAUUUCUCAUAUUACUUCUCUAACAGAACCCAGUUUAUAAUUUUUUAAAAAUUAAGAUAAUAUGGAACAGAAACAAAUUUGGAAAAUCAGACCUAAAAGGUCUCUAGUACAUUUAUCUGCUUAAAGUUAUAUUUGUAUUAACCACACCCCAUGUUCAAUAAAACCUUAAAGCUCCUAAUAUUUA
This 1760-nucleotide long non-coding RNA is filed under the name Homo sapiens (human). RNAcentral describes it as "non-protein coding LINC02328:58". Lineage: Eukaryota; Metazoa; Chordata; Mammalia; Primates; Hominidae. The record is from RNAcentral.